RNAcentral lists this ribosomal RNA (253 nucleotides) under uncultured bacterium. Its description in RNAcentral is "partial 16S ribosomal RNA". It matches the Rfam family "Bacterial small subunit ribosomal RNA", at positions 524 to 776 of the family's 1533-position model. The record is from RNAcentral.
UACAGAGGUCUCAAGCGUUGUUCGGAUUCAUUGGGCGUAAAGGGUGCGUAGGUGGGUUGUUAAGUCAGUGGUGAAAUCUCCGGGCUUAACUCGGAAACUGCCAUUGAUACUAUCUUUCUUGAAUACCGUGGAGGUCAGCGGAAUAUGUCAUGUAGCGGUGAAAUGCUUAGAUAUGACAUAGAACACCAAUUGCGAAGGCAGCUUGCUACACUGUUAUUGACACUGAGGCACGAAAGCGUGGGGAUCAAACAGG